UGCUAAGAGAGGAAGGAAUGGGCAACGGUAGGUCAGCAUGCCCCGAAUUAUCUGGGCUACACGCGGGGCUACAAUGGGUGGGACAAUGGGUAUCGACACCGAAAGGUGAAGGCAAUCUCCUAAACCCAUCCGUAGUUCGGAUUGUGGGCUGCAACUCGCCCACAUGAAGCUGGAAUCUGUAGUAAUCGUGUCUCAAAAUGGCACGGUGAAUAUGUCCCUGCUCCUU
This 226-nucleotide ribosomal RNA is filed under the name uncultured Methanomicrobiales archaeon. RNAcentral's name for it is "partial 16S ribosomal RNA". It matches the Rfam family "Archaeal small subunit ribosomal RNA", at positions 1112 to 1338 of the family's 1478-position model. Lineage: Archaea; Methanobacteriati; Methanobacteriota; Methanomicrobia; Methanomicrobiales. The record is from RNAcentral.